GCCGGUGUAGCUCAGUGGUAGAGCAACGGUUUUGUAAACCGUCGGUCGCGGGUUCGAUCCCCAUCACCGGCU
Molecule: transfer RNA, 72 nt
Filed under: Cyanobacteria bacterium REEB67
Lineage: Bacteria; Bacillati; Cyanobacteriota
Description: tRNA-Thr
Rfam family: tRNA
About the family: Transfer RNA (tRNA) molecules are approximately 80 nucleotides in length. Their secondary structure includes four short double-helical elements and three loops (D, anti-codon, and T loops).
Source: RNAcentral